AUGGACCGCUUCCAGGACGGGCACCACGUGCGGCUGCGGAGCCGCGUGUCGCGCACCUACCUCCACGCCGCCGACGACGGGGUGGGCGUCACGCUCCACGAGCGCCGCGCCUCCAUGAACGCUGCGUGGGCGGUGCACAUCUACCACGGCGACGACAGCCCUUACCUGCUCUUCCACAGCGCCGCCUACGGCCGCUACCUCGCCGCCACGGCCACGCCGGCGAGGCUCGGCCACCGGGGCCUCCGCGCGGAGCUGCGCGACUACGACCAGCCGGGCGUGGAGGCCGUCAUGUGGCAAGCCGUGGGGUCGGGCUUCGCGGACGACGUCGUGCUGCUCCGCAACGUCGGCGGCCGCUACCUCCGCGCCAACGGCAGGUACAUCCGCUGGAACGCCGGCGUCAGCGUCGACAACAGCUUCAGCUCCAUGAUGUACUGGGUCGUCGAGCCCAUUCCCGCCACAGAGGACAUGCCUGCCCUUCCUGCCCCGCCUCCGAAUCCCCCAUACGGAUACCUCCUCGGGGUCAUCCACCUGGAGCCGGAACGGCUGAUCCGGUUCGUGCGGGCGCAAGACGACGGGCACUACCCCGAGGACCCCGAGGACGAAGGCUGGCAGCAGUUCUGGUUCAGGGGGACGUCCGCGUUUCGCCUGAGGGACGACCUGGGGUUCCUCGUCGGCGCCGGCGUGUACUAUCCGGACAUCGCCAUGUGCGUCCGAGCGGGCCGCUACGGGAGGCUGACCCCGCUCGUCGUCGACCUGCCCGACGGCGGCUAUGGCGACACCCUCGAGAUUGUCGUCUUCCUGGCCGACACCCCUGGUGAGAGCCUCUCUUCAUGCCUACUUCCUCCUAUGUAUCUCCUGACUGAAAUUGUCUUACUGAAGCUGUUAGGUGUCUUCAACUGA
This 900-nucleotide ribosomal RNA is filed under the name Triticum aestivum (bread wheat). RNAcentral's name for it is "partial small subunit ribosomal RNA". The record is from RNAcentral. Lineage: Eukaryota; Viridiplantae; Streptophyta; Magnoliopsida; Poales; Poaceae.